RNAcentral lists this ribosomal RNA (420 nucleotides) under Burkholderia sp. RNAcentral's name for it is "bacterial SSU rRNA". It matches the Rfam family "Bacterial small subunit ribosomal RNA", at positions 63 to 476 of the family's 1533-position model. The record is from RNAcentral. Lineage: Bacteria; Pseudomonadati; Pseudomonadota; Betaproteobacteria; Burkholderiales; Burkholderiaceae.
CGACCGGCAGCACGGGUGCUUGCACCUGGUGGCGAGUGGCGAACGGGUGAGUAAUACAUCGGAACAUGUCCUGUAGUGGGGGAUAGCCCGGCGAAAGCCGGAUUAAUACCGCAUACGAUCCACGGAUGAAAGCGGGGGACCUUCGGGCCUCGCGCUAUAGGGUUGGCCGAUGGCUGAUUAGCUAGUUGGUGGGGUAAAGGCCUACCAAGGCGACAAUCAGUAGCUGGUCUGAGAGGACAACCAGCCACACUGGGACUGAAACACGGCCCAAACUCCUACGGGAGGCAGCAGUGGGGAAUUUUGGACAAUGGGCGAAAGCCUGAUCCAGCAAUGCCGCGUGUGUGAAAAAGGCCUUCGGGUUGUAAAGCACUUUUGUCCGGAAAGAAAUCCUUGGUUCUAAUACAGCCGGGGGAUGACGGU